UCAUAUGCUUGUCUCAAAGAUUAAGCCAUGCAUGUCUAAGUACAUGCCUAAGCAAGGUGAAACCGCGAAUGGCUCAUUAAAUCAGUUAUGGUUCCUUAGAUCGUACCUUUUUACUUGGAUAACUGUGGUAAUUCUAGAGCUAAUACAUGCAGCAGAGCUCCGACCUUCGGGGACGAGCGCUUUUAUUAGACCAAGACCAAUCGGGCUUCGGUCCGAACCUCCUGGUGACUCUGGAUAACUUUGAGCAGAUCGCACGGUCUCGUACCGGCGACGCAUCUUUCAAGUGUCUGCCUUAUCAACUGUCGAUGGUAGGUUAUGCGCCUACCAUGGUCGUAACGGGUAACGGGGAAUCAGGGUUCGAUUCCGGAGAGGGAGCCUGAGAAACGGCUACCACAUCCAAGGAAGGCAGCAGGCGCGCAAAUUACCCACUCCCGGCACGGGGAGGUAGUGACGAAAAAUAACAAUACGGGACUCUAUUGAGGCCUCGUAAUUGGAAUGAGUACACUCUAAAUCCUUUAACGAGGAUCUAUUGGAGGGCAAGUCUGGUGCCAGCAGCCGCGGUAAUUCCAGCUCCAAUAGCGUAUAUUAAAGUUGUUGCGGUUAAAAAGCUCGUAGUUGGAUCUCAGUUCCAGACGGGUGGUCCACCGCCCGGUGGCUACUGCCCGGCCUGAACAAUCUCGCCGGUUUUCCUUGAUUCUCUUCACCGAGUGUCUUGGGUGACCGGCACGUUUACUUUGAAAAAAUUAGAGUGCUUAAAGCAGGCGUAACGCCAGAAUAAUGGUGCAUGGAAUAAUGGAAUAGGACCUCGGUUCUAUUUUGUUGGUUUUCGGAACACGAGGUAAUGAUUAAGAGGGACAGACGGGGGCAUUCGUAUUGCGACGCUAGAGGUGAAAUUCUUGGACCGUCGCAAGACGAACUACU
This 921-nucleotide ribosomal RNA is filed under the name Uropygi sp. MCZ IZ-98050 106214. RNAcentral describes it as "SSU rRNA". It matches the Rfam family "Eukaryotic small subunit ribosomal RNA", at positions 24 to 944 of the family's 1831-position model. Lineage: Eukaryota; Metazoa; Arthropoda; Arachnida; Uropygi. RNAcentral also lists the same sequence under 3 other names. The record is from RNAcentral.